RNAcentral lists this ribosomal RNA (404 nucleotides) under uncultured bacterium. Its description in RNAcentral is "bacterial SSU rRNA". It matches the Rfam family "Bacterial small subunit ribosomal RNA", at positions 355 to 776 of the family's 1533-position model. The record is from RNAcentral.
UGGGGAAUAUUGGACAAUGGGGGAAACCCUGAUCCAGCGAUGCCGCGUGAGUGAAAAAGGCCUUCGGGUUGUAAAGCUCUUUCAGUGGGGAAGAUAAUGACGGUACCCACAGAAGAAGGACCGGCUAACUUCGUGCCAGCAGCCGCGGUAAUACGAAGGGUCCUAGCGUUGUUCGGAAUUACUGGGCGUAAAGGGCGCGUAGGCGGCCUAUUAAGUCAGGUGUGAAAGCCCCGAGCUUAACUUGGGAACUGCACUUGAUACUGGUAGGCUAGAGAUCGGAAGAGGUGAGUGGAAUUCCUAGUGUAGAGGUGAAAUUCGUAGAUAUUAGGAAGAACACCAGUGGCGAAGGCGGCUCACUGGUCCGAUACUGACGCUAAGGCGCGAAAGCGUGGGGAGCAAACAGG